AGAGUUUGAUCCUGGCUCAGGACGAACGCUGGCGGCGUGCCUAAUACAUGCAAGUCGAGCGGACAGAAGGGAGCUUGCUCCCGGAUGUUAGCGGCGGACGGGUGAGUAACACGUGGGUAACCUGCCUGUAAGACUGGGAUAACUCCGGGAAACCGGAGCUAAUACCGGAUAGUUCCUUGAACCGCAUGGUUCAAGGAUGAAAGACGGUUUCGGCUGUCACUUACAGAUGGACCCGCGGCGCAUUAGCUAGUUGGUGAGGUAACGGCUCACCAAGGCGACGAUGCGUAGCCGACCUGAGAGGGUGAUCGGCCACACUGGGACUGAGACACGGCCCAGACUCCUACGGGAGGCAGCAGUAGGGAAUCUUCCGCAAUGGACGAAAGUCUGACGGAGCAACGCCGCGUGAGUGAUGAAGGUUUUCGGAUCGUAAAGCUCUGUUGUUAGGGAAGAACAAGUGCAAGAGUAACUGCUUGCACCUUGACGGUACCUAACCAGAAAGCCACGGCUAACUACGUGCCAGCAGCCGCGGUAAUACGUAGGUGGCAAGCGUUGUCCGGAAUUAUUGGGCGUAAAGGGCUCGCAGGCGGUUUCUUAAGUCUGAUGUGAAAGCCCCCGGCUCAACCGGGGAGGGUCAUUGGAAACUGGGAAACUUGAGUGCAGAAGAGGAGAGUGGAAUUCCACGUGUAGCGGUGAAAUGCGUAGAGAUGUGGAGGAACACCAGUGGCGAAGGCGACUCUCUGGUCUGUAACUGACGCUGAGGAGCGAAAGCGUGGGGAGCGAACAGGAUUAGAUACCCUGGUAGUCCACGCCGUAAACGAUGAGUGCUAAGUGUUAGGGGGUUUCCGCCCCUUAGUGCUGCAGCUAACGCAUUAAGCACUCCGCCUGGGGAGUACGGUCGCAAGACUGAAACUCAAAGGAAUUGACGGGGGCCCGCACAAGCGGUGGAGCAUGUGGUUUAAUUCGAAGCAACGCGAAGAACCUUACCAGGUCUUGACAUCCUCUGACAACCCUAGAGAUAGGGCUUUCCCUUCGGGGACAGAGUGACAGGUGGUGCAUGGUUGUCGUCAGCUCGUGUCGUGAGAUGUUGGGUUAAGUCCCGCAACGAGCGCAACCCUUGAUCUUAGUUGCCAGCAUU
RNAcentral lists this ribosomal RNA (1135 nucleotides) under Bacillus altitudinis. RNAcentral describes it as "bacterial SSU rRNA". It matches the Rfam family "Bacterial small subunit ribosomal RNA", at positions 8 to 1125 of the family's 1533-position model. RNAcentral also lists the same sequence under 2 other names. The record is from RNAcentral. Lineage: Bacteria; Bacillati; Bacillota; Bacilli; Caryophanales; Bacillaceae.